GUUAAAAAGCUCGUAGUUGAAUUUCUGCCGCAUCGCGGCGGCCCUCCCGGGCCCAGCGUUGCGGCUUAUUUCGGACUCGCUUGCGUCUCCGAAUGUUUACUUUGAGAAAAUUAGAGUGCUCAAAGCAGGCCCUUGCCUUGAAUACUUUAGCAUGGAAUAAUAAAGUAGGACUUUGGUUCUAUUUUGUUGGUUUAGCGCCAAAGUAAUGGUUAAUAGGAACAGUUGGGGGCAUUCGUAUUUAACUGUCAGAGGUGAAAUUCUUAGAUUUGUUAAAGACAAACUACUGCGAAAGA
RNAcentral lists this ribosomal RNA (293 nucleotides) under Theileria mutans. RNAcentral's name for it is "partial small subunit ribosomal RNA". It matches the Rfam family "Eukaryotic small subunit ribosomal RNA", at positions 618 to 952 of the family's 1831-position model. The record is from RNAcentral. Lineage: Eukaryota; Apicomplexa; Aconoidasida; Piroplasmida; Theileriidae.